ACCUACGGGAGGCAGCAGUUGGGAAUCUUGCACAAUGGGGGAAACCCUGAUGCAGCGACGCCGCGUGGAGGAUGAAGGAUCUAGGUCUGUAAACUCCUUUUUCAGGGAAAGACUUAGGACGGUACCCUGAGAAUAAGCACCGGCUAACUACGUGCCAGCAGCCGCGGUAAGACGUAGGGUGCGAGCGUUGUCCGGAUUUACUGGGCGUAAAGAGCGCGUAGGCGGCUCGUUAAGUGUGAAGUGAAAUCUCCAGGGCUCAACCCGGAAACUGCUUUACAUACUGGCGAGCUGGAGUGAUGCAGAGGUUUGUGGAAUUCCUGGUGUAACGGUGAAAUGUGUUGAUAUCAGGAGGAACACCCAUGGCGAAGGCAGCAAACUGGGCAUCAACUGACGCUGAGGCGCGAAAGCGUGGGUAGCAAACAGGAUUAGAUACCCCGGUAGUCCU
This 445-nucleotide ribosomal RNA is filed under the name uncultured bacterium. RNAcentral describes it as "bacterial SSU rRNA". It matches the Rfam family "Bacterial small subunit ribosomal RNA", at positions 337 to 797 of the family's 1533-position model. The record is from RNAcentral.